This is a long non-coding RNA of Scophthalmus maximus (turbot), 705 nucleotides long. RefSeq lists it as uncharacterized. The transcript has 3 exons. NCBI's taxonomy places the organism in Eukaryota, Metazoa, Chordata, Actinopteri, Pleuronectiformes, Scophthalmidae. The record is from RefSeq and is a predicted model, not a curated record.
CAGUAAGAACCCGCGUUUGGUACAUUCCUCUUCUUCCUGGGUUUGUUUGCAGGGACCGGAGCGGCUCGGGGACAGGCUGGCCUAUCAGCGCCGCCACUGCCGAUACCAAAAACACGAAGUCUAGCCACGGCCGCGCGGCCGGGACAAGCAGGAAGGAAGCAGGCCCCCGUCAGGAACGGAGGGGUGAAGUUUCACUCGAGGUAACUUUCCAGUCAUUUCGGAGCAAAGUGUCAGGACUUCAAAGGACCCGGGCGAAUUCAUAGACACAUUUCAGAGAUGUUUUGGAUGGACGGCAUUCCUGGAUGCUUCCUCACCAAGUUCAGAGGAUUAACCAAAAACUAUCGAACGGAAUUGGCAGAACGGAAACUUGGCCGAAGGAUGGGACACGGGCCGAGAAAGAAGCCAUUCAAUUUGGUCAUGGACCCGGACAGAGGGGAGGCUUUCUUUAACAUUGAGGAAAACAUACACAGCACAGUUGACGAUUGAUGAAAUUAUGAUAUGUGAGCCAGCGUGCACCACAGCAGCUCGCUGGAACUGGCUCGGCUGCUUGGAAUCCAAUCAUCCUCAACGUUAUAUAUCCACACCUUUGCUUCUCCUGCCGUGACGUGACAAAAUUUCAGCUGUGAAAUUAGUCUGUUGAACUCUAUUUCUUCUCUUUUCCUCCAAUUUACUCUUUGUUAAUGAUUAUUAAAACUGUUGAAUGUC